UGUAGCUCAAUUGUAGAGCACUUGCCUCACACGCAUGAAGCACUGAGUUCAAUCCUCAGCA
RNAcentral lists this transfer RNA (61 nucleotides) under Ictidomys tridecemlineatus (thirteen-lined ground squirrel). RNAcentral describes it as "Spermophilus tridecemlineatus (thirteen-lined ground squirrel) tRNA". It matches the Rfam family "tRNA", at positions 6 to 65 of the family's 71-position model. From Rfam's summary of the family: Transfer RNA (tRNA) molecules are approximately 80 nucleotides in length. Their secondary structure includes four short double-helical elements and three loops (D, anti-codon, and T loops). The record is from Rfam by way of RNAcentral. Lineage: Eukaryota; Metazoa; Chordata; Mammalia; Rodentia; Sciuridae.